Long non-coding RNA from Rosa chinensis, 432 nucleotides. RefSeq lists it as uncharacterized. Lineage: Eukaryota; Viridiplantae; Streptophyta; Magnoliopsida; Rosales; Rosaceae. The transcript has 5 exons. The record is from RefSeq and is a predicted model, not a curated record.
GUGGCCGGAGCUAGCUUAAUCAUGUUGCAGAGCUAGCUUCGCUGCCCUCAUUUGAUGGGUGCCUUGGUGAAAUCAAGAUUUCAGACUCUUUAUUGGAAUUGAUAGGUUGUGAGGGUGACAUGGCUACUUCAACUUGUGAAUAUUCCAAACUAUAUCACCAUUGUCUACACUUUGGUUACUUUGUGCAAUGCCUGAGACUUCAAAAUGUUUUCUGUGAUGAAGAAAUUUGUCACCUAUUGAGGAACAGCAAAUAGCAGAGCUUGGAACUAAGGUGGAUAAGAUCCAAGGAGCAUGUCUUGGAAGGAGGGAAAUAUUUCAGCUAACGAGAAAUUCGUGCAAGUUUAUAUUUGCUUAUGAUGGAGUGAAGAGAGAAUUAAAGGAGAUCUUUAGUUCACCAGAACAGAAGCUCGACCAAUCUUUCGAAUUUAGGGG